RNAcentral lists this long non-coding RNA (852 nucleotides) under Bos indicus x Bos taurus (hybrid cattle). Its description in RNAcentral is "lncRNA (ENSBIXG00005001547.1)". The record is from RNAcentral. Lineage: Eukaryota; Metazoa; Chordata; Mammalia; Artiodactyla; Bovidae.
CCCCCGCCCCUCCUGUGUUAUUAACGGUUCAUUUGCUUUGAGUGGCAUCGUUACGAAGGUUUGGGGGUGCUAAAUAUACCUCCCCAUCUUUCUAUUUUUAAAAGGCUGCAGACGUGACACAAAUUAUGCUCGCAUGACGGGCGCCUCCGAGUUGGCCUAGAGAGGUUGCCGUGGGGACUGUGCAGCAGGAGGGAGUCUGCCUGGCGAGGAUGUCACGUUGCUCUUCAGCCAGGAAACAAACAAACAAAGCAAAAACAUCUAUUCAUCUGGAUUUUAUUCAUUUGUUUUAAAUACAAACAAAAGGAGAGAGGAGACAUGGUUAUUUCUGCAGCAACUAUUUCAAAUGCAACUUAUUCCAUCGCUCCAGGUGUUCCAAUGGUGUUUGUCACCGUAAGACCCACGGGGCUAGUUCCAACCAUUAUACUGUAAGGCUUUCUUUCUUUCCAAAAUUCCCUGCGUUCCUUUAAGGCCCAUUUAGCUGCGGGUUUUGUUUAUUCUCCCAGCAAUCAGCAUUUAAAAUAAGAUAAACAAGCAUUUUUCCUGGUCUGUGAAUCCCCACCGGCCAGCCUCCACCUGCACACCUGAAGUCAAUGGGUCCAAUUGAAUUUCUUGGUAACCCAUAUCCCCUUCAGAGACCGGCUCCCUCCGUAUACCAAGCUGGAAAUAGAGAGCUUAAGCAGGGCAAAUGUAAUUUUAAGAAUUGCUAAUGAUGCUAGGAAUCUGCAGUGCAAUUAGCAUCAUUGAAUUUGGCGCUCCUCCGAAGGCACAGAACUCCUUGCCAUCCUGCAGUGGCAGCAGCGGCAAGUGCCUCCUCGCAUGCCUGGGCGGCCGGGGGUGCUGGCAGCCGCUUUG